This is a long non-coding RNA of Ctenopharyngodon idella (grass carp), 881 nucleotides long. RefSeq lists it as uncharacterized. NCBI's taxonomy places the organism in Eukaryota, Metazoa, Chordata, Actinopteri, Cypriniformes, Xenocyprididae. The record is from RefSeq and is a predicted model, not a curated record. The transcript is spliced from 3 exons.
UUUCUAACUAAAUCGAUCUAUCUAUCUAUCUACCAUCUCAUAGCAACCACCUAGAACAACCUAGCAACCGCCUAGCAACCACACAAAUCACCCUGGCAACAUCCUAGUAACCAGCCCGAGUGCCUUAGCAACCACAUAGGAACACCCUAGCAACCACCCAGAAUUCCUUAGCAACCGUAUAGCAACACCUUAGCAACCACCCCUAGUACCUUAGCAACCACAAAGCAAAACCCCAGCAACCAUAUAAAACCCUUGCAACCACUCAGAGUACCCUGACUCUAUCUAUCUAUCUAUCUAUCUAUCUAUCUAUCUGUCUGUCUGUCUGUCUGUCUGUCUUUUAAACUACUAAACUAAAACUUAAACUUUCAAACUUUCAAACUUCAAACUUUUAAAACUACUUCAAACUUUCUGGACCGGCUUUUUCAAGCCAACUUAAAGUUUGUCUAAAAACUUUUUUAUUUUAUUAUUAUUAUUAUUAUUUAUUUUUAUUUUUUUUUACACACAUUAUAUGACUGUCUUUAAUUUUAAGUUACAUAAAAAUUGACAAUUACAAUUCUCAACCGCUAGAUGGCAACUGUGGCUCUACUGAGACAUGACUACUGGCAACGCGAGACUUGUUAGUUAGUAGAGAUCACUGUUCCCAGAUCUCGCGAUGAACAUUUCCACCAUUUUACAACUGUCGGACAGCAAGCAAGAGCAAAUGUUGAAGCAAAUUCUUUCCUGCUUUUGGUCUUGCUAUUUUCUUACUCAUAGUUUUCAGUCAGGCGACUGGAGCAGAGACCUGGAGGGCAAAACAUCCAUAGAACUGCAGGACAGGCCUGUCAAUUGCGUCUCAAAAAAGCACCCGAGCCAUCACGGACAUGGAAAGGUCUUGACACCUU